GUGGGGAAUAUUGGACAAUGGGCGCAAGCCUGAUCCAGCCAUACCGCGUGGGUGAAGAAGGCCUUCGGGUUGUAAAGCCCUUUUGUCGGGAAAGAAAUCCUGUCGGUUAAUACCUGGCGGGGAUGACGGUACCCAAAGAAUAAGCACCGGCUAACUUCGUGCCAGCAGCCGCGGUAAUACGAAGGGUGCAAGCGUUACUCGGAAUUACUGGGCGUAAAGCGUGCGUAGGUGGUGGUUUAAGUCCGUUGUGAAAGCCCUGGGCUCAACCUGGGAAUUGCAGUGGAUACUGGAUCACUAGAGUGUGGUAGAGGGAUGCGGAAUUUCUGGUGUAGCAGUGAAAUGCGUAGAGAUCAGAAGGAACAUCCGUGGCGAAGGCGGCAUCCUGGGCCAACACUGACACUGAGGCACGAAAGCGUGGGGAGCAAACAGGAUUAGAUACCCCGGUAGUCC
Molecule: ribosomal RNA, 450 nt
Filed under: uncultured bacterium
Lineage: Bacteria
Description: partial 16S ribosomal RNA
Rfam family: Bacterial small subunit ribosomal RNA
Source: RNAcentral